This 343-nucleotide long non-coding RNA is filed under the name Bos taurus (domestic cattle). Its description in RNAcentral is "long non-coding RNA NONBTAT004101". Lineage: Eukaryota; Metazoa; Chordata; Mammalia; Artiodactyla; Bovidae. The record is from RNAcentral.
ACAUAUAGCAAUAGACCAAUGGUACACAAUAUAAGGAUAUAAAUAAUUUCAAAUAACUAUAAGAAUUUUUUGCAUAUAUUGAAUUCUCAAACGAGUGGGAAUAUUGCUAUUUAAUACAUCAGGAAAGACUAUGUAUUAACUAUGGGGGGAAAAAAAGACAAAUUAGGAUAAUUCUUCAUACCAUCCAAGUAGGGUAAACUAUAAACUAUUAUCAAACUGAAUGUACAAAAUGAAAUAUUACAGUUACUAGAAGAAAUCAUGAUGAAUCCCUUAAAACUGAGAGAAGGGAAAAGCAUUCUGAUUAUGAAUAAAAUCCAAGAAACAAUAAAAGCAAAAUGUAAUA